UACGUAGGGUGCGAGCGUUGUCCGGAAUUACUGGGCGUAAAGAGCUCGUAGGUGGUUUGUCGCGUUGUUCGUGAAAACUCACAGCUUAACUGUGGGCGUGCGGGCGAUACGGGCAGACUGGAGUACUGCAGGGGAGACUGGAAUUCUCGGUGUAGCGGUGAAAUGCGUAGAUAUCGAGAGGAACACCUGCGGCGAAGGCGGGUUGCUGGGCUGAUACUGACGCUGAGGCGCGAAAGCCAGGGGAGCGAACGGG
RNAcentral lists this ribosomal RNA (253 nucleotides) under uncultured bacterium. Its description in RNAcentral is "partial 16S ribosomal RNA". It matches the Rfam family "Bacterial small subunit ribosomal RNA", at positions 524 to 776 of the family's 1533-position model. The record is from RNAcentral.